This 480-nucleotide ribosomal RNA is filed under the name uncultured bacterium. RNAcentral's name for it is "partial 16S ribosomal RNA". It matches the Rfam family "Bacterial small subunit ribosomal RNA", at positions 29 to 507 of the family's 1533-position model. The record is from RNAcentral.
AUGAACGCUGGCGGCGUGCUUAACACAUGCCAGUCGAACGAAGCACUUUAUUUGAUUUCCUUCGGGACUGAUUAUUUUGUGACUGAGUGGCGGACGGGUGAGUAACGCGUGGGUAACCUGCCUUGUACAGGGGGAUAACAGUUGGAAACGGCUGCUAAUACCGCAUAAGCGCACGGCAUCGCAUGAUGCAGUGUGAAAAACUCCGGUGGUAUAAGAUGGACCCGCGUUGGAUUAGCUAGUUGGUGAGGUAACGGCCCACCAAGGCGACGAUCCAUAGCCGACCUGAGAGGGUGACCGGCCACAUUGGGACUGAGACACGGCCCAAACUCCUACGGGAGGCAGCAGUGGGGAAUAUUGCACAAUGGGCGAAAGCCUGAUGCAGCGACGCCGCGUGAGCGAAGAAGUAUUUCGGUAUGUAAAGCUCUAUCAGCAGGGAAGAUAAUGACGGUACCUGACUAAGAAGCACCGGCUAAAUACGUG